GAAUUCAGCACAUAUGAGCUGGAAGUUUGAGUAAUGCAUAAAGCAGUGCAGCACUCAGACCUGCUGCACUCUCCGGGGCCAGCCUGGAAAGGAGAUCACCAAUCACUGCAGCUCAUAGCUCACAUUUCUUAGAGGCUCUCCCUGAGGUUGAGAAGCAGCGGGAUUUGGCAAGGACAGCGACCCACAGCAGUUGGAGCCCCUGCCACCCACACCCAGGACGGCACUGGUUGCAGCAGUCACAUAGAUAAGCCAGUAUUUGCAAAGGACCCACUCUGGCCAUGACUGCAAGCGGUAUGGUGUGUGCUAAACUCUUCCCUGUGCCCAGCCUAGGAUGCAAGCUUUGCUUCUUCCACAGAGCAGCAUUAGAAAAGCAGCUCCUCUGUAAGCUGCUGAGCUGCCCUCACCCACCUGAGCACCUUCAGCAGCUGUGGGACACAGUGGGCAUGUUUCAAGUUCAGAAGGAAAGUGGAAUCAUUAAAGGAGAUGGCUUCUCCUUCGUGUCCCCUUUAGUUUACAUGGUCCUCUGAGCAGAGACUGGAGCCACGUGGUUGCCGCACCAGCUAUGAAUGUGGCUCAGUCCCACGUGAAACAUCUGAGCGUACAGAAACAAGGACUGCCUGCAGGAAUUCCUUAAAUCCUUAAAGAAAUAUGCAGCCCCCUAGACAGGAUGAAAGAGUUUGUAGAUAUUUGUCUAUCAAGCAGAGCACUGAGAGCGUAUAUUUGUUUUGGCACACUUUAUGGGACUGUAUUUUGAAUAUGUUUUUCUAUUGUGCUGGAUAAUUAUGAAGCCUAUAAAAAAAACCACCCAAUUCCAAGAGCCAUUUCAACUCAGUUGAGAUGUAAGAAACUAUUCCCACAGCUUUUUCUACAGUCCUUCUGGAGUCUCCUCUCCACUGUUUAAUGAUGUGAACAGACCAAUGGCCAAAACAUAUACAUUUCUCCACUUCCCUGGAAACCUAGGAAAUAUAUUGAUAUUAUUUCCAGGCCAUUUAGUUUCAUAUGGAGAACCCCAGGCAUUUGAAAUAUGUUCACGCAGAAAAUAAUUCAUUCCUUUGGCAUAAGUUUCUUUUCAUACACAUUUUCCUUCAUUAGAAGCAAACUACUAUUUAACACCCUUUUCACUUCACCUCAUGCUCUAGGAAAAUAUACCCCAUAACUAUUUCUUCCUGCAUUUCAGAGCAACAAUAAAACCAGCGAGCCCUUAAGUACAAAACUUACAGUCGUUACUCAUUUAACACGAUGACCGAUUUUAAUGCAGGAUUUUGCUUACACGAACUCCUGGCUCCCUUUUGUACUGCAAAGUGUUUAUUUUUAUACUGUUCCACAAACACAGGGACUCUGGCAAUAAAACAUUUGUGAUUAAAUUAUUUCUUACCUAGCCA
Molecule: non-coding RNA, 1382 nt
Organism: Coturnix japonica (Japanese quail)
Lineage: Eukaryota; Metazoa; Chordata; Aves; Galliformes; Phasianidae
Source: RefSeq, a predicted model, not a curated record